GGUCGGGGUUUCGUACGUAGCAGAGCA
This 27-nucleotide non-coding RNA is filed under the name Gallus gallus (chicken). RNAcentral also lists the same sequence under 6 other names. The record is from RNAcentral. Lineage: Eukaryota; Metazoa; Chordata; Aves; Galliformes; Phasianidae.